GUGCCAGCAGCAGCGGUAAUACGGAGGGUGCAAGCGUUAUCCGGAUUCACUGGGUUUAAAGGGUGCGUAGGUGGGCUGGUAAGUCAGUGGUGAAAUCUCCGGGCUUAACUCGGAAACUGCCAUUGAUACUAUCAGUCUUGAAUAUUGUGGAGGUUAGCGGAAUAUGUCAUGUAGCGGUGAAAUGCAUAGAUAUGACAUAGAACACCAAUUGCGAAGGCAGCUGGCUACACAUAUAUUGACACUGAGG
RNAcentral lists this ribosomal RNA (247 nucleotides) under uncultured Niabella sp. Its description in RNAcentral is "partial 16S ribosomal RNA". It matches the Rfam family "Bacterial small subunit ribosomal RNA", at positions 505 to 751 of the family's 1533-position model. Lineage: Bacteria; Pseudomonadati; Bacteroidota; Chitinophagia; Chitinophagales; Chitinophagaceae. The record is from RNAcentral.